CACGUAGGGCGCAAGCGUUGUCCGGAAUCAUUGGGCGUAAAGCGCGCGUAGGCGGUUACCUAAGUUGGAUGUGAAAGCCCUCGGCUUAACCGAGGAAGUGCACCCAAAACUGGGUAGCUAGAGUACUAAAGAGGGUCGCGGAAUUCCCGGUGUAGAGGUGAAAUUCGUAGAUAUCGGGAGGAACACCGGUGGCGAAGGCGGCGACCUGGGUAGAUACUGACGCUGAGGCGCGAAAGCGUGGGGAGCAAACAGG
This 253-nucleotide ribosomal RNA is filed under the name uncultured bacterium. Its description in RNAcentral is "partial 16S ribosomal RNA". It matches the Rfam family "Bacterial small subunit ribosomal RNA", at positions 524 to 776 of the family's 1533-position model. The record is from RNAcentral.